This 385-nucleotide ribosomal RNA is filed under the name uncultured Alphaproteobacteria bacterium. Its description in RNAcentral is "bacterial SSU rRNA". It matches the Rfam family "Bacterial small subunit ribosomal RNA", at positions 9 to 420 of the family's 1533-position model. The record is from RNAcentral. Lineage: Bacteria; Pseudomonadati; Pseudomonadota; Alphaproteobacteria.
GAGUUUGAUCUUGGCUCAGAACGGACGCUGGCGGCAGGCUUAACACAUGCAAGUCGAACGCGUGUAGCAAUACACGAGUGGCGCACGGGUGAGUAACACGUGGAUAUCUGCCUUUUGGUUCGGAAUAACCCUGGGAAACUAGGGCUAAUACCGGAUGGUUCCUACGGGAUAAAGAUUUAUCGCCAAAAGAUGAGUCCGCGUCCGAUUAGCUAGUUGGUGAGGUAAUGGCUCACCAAGGCGACGAUCGGUAGCUGGUCUGAGAGGACGAUCAGCCACACUGGGACUGAGACACGGCCCAGACUCCUACGGGAGGCAGCAGUGGGGAAUAUUGGACAAUGGGGGCAACCCUGAUCCAGCCAUGCCGCGUGAGUGAUGAAGGCCUCGG